Bactrocera dorsalis (oriental fruit fly) is the source of this 934-nucleotide long non-coding RNA. RefSeq lists it as uncharacterized. The transcript is spliced from 2 exons. The record is from RefSeq and is a predicted model, not a curated record. NCBI's taxonomy places the organism in Eukaryota, Metazoa, Arthropoda, Insecta, Diptera, Tephritidae.
GCUUCAGUACUAAAUUUCAUAGGAAAUAGGUUGUGUGACAAACAAAGUAUUAAAAGUUCUUUAAGUAUGUACAGCAAACGUCAUCAAAGAAGAUUAAUUAAUGCCGAAAUAAAUGAAAUUAUAAAUACAUAUAAAUAAUUCAAAUGACAAUAAUUAUAAUCUUAGUGAAUGUGACAAUGAUAAUGAAAAUGUGGUUGAAAUUAACAAUGAAAAUUCUAGAACUGAAAAUGUGAAUGAAAGUAGUUAGGUUGUUGACUUAAAACAAUGGGCAGUGAAAAAUAAAUUUAUACUUAAAUUUGUUAGUGACUGCACAUAAUUUUCUACAUAAACAUUUUUAUUUUAGAGCAGGCAAAAUCUAUUGCAGCCUUAAUAAGCAGCCAGGCACAGAACAAUUUGCUGAUAAAGCAAGUGCUUAAUAAAGUGGAGAAGAAAACAAGAUUCCCAGUUUGCGACGCAAUGCAACUCACGGAAAUUGAAGAUGAUGUUUCCAAAAAUAAAGAUAUAUACGCAAGUCUAAGUCGGUGUAUCAGGUGUCUAUUAUAAAAAACAUUAUUGUAUCAAUUGGAGUUACAAACGGAAUGAAAAAAAUUCUCAGCGAUAGCAUCAUGGUGCAGUUAAAUUAUGAUGGACUGCAAGACAAGUUUGAGUGCCUAAAUAAUGCCAUAUAUGAAGCAAUGCAAGUGGAAGGUUUCACUAAAGGCGAUUAUGAGCGGGAGCUCAAAAGAGCUUUCAAGAUGGGUAAAAACCGAUAUCACGAAGCGGGCUCUUUGAAAAAGCAAAAAGAUAAACAAAUAUAAUAAAUUAAAGUAUGAAAACAAUGAAUUUAAGUGACAUUGACAUUAUUUUUAAAUGUAAAAUCUUAAUUAUAGUAAUUUGUACUGAAAUGGAUUUCUUUAUUAUUUCUAAUUGAAUUAAAAAAUAUAAAACUAUAAGA